Molecule: small RNA, 28 nt
Filed under: Bombyx mori (domestic silkworm)
Lineage: Eukaryota; Metazoa; Arthropoda; Insecta; Lepidoptera; Bombycidae
Description: ovarian small RNA-16139
Source: RNAcentral
GAUGAAACAUACAGCAAAAUCUCCAAGC